RNAcentral lists this transfer RNA (72 nucleotides) under Stegodyphus mimosarum. It matches the Rfam family "tRNA". From Rfam's summary of the family: Transfer RNA (tRNA) molecules are approximately 80 nucleotides in length. Lineage: Eukaryota; Metazoa; Arthropoda; Arachnida; Araneae; Eresidae. The record is from Rfam by way of RNAcentral.
GCCUUCGUGGUGUAGUGUGAAAACGCUCGGCGCGUAUUCGAGAGGUUCGUGGUUCGAAUCCCGGCAAGGGCA